AAGAUUGGGGCAGAGGGUUGUAAAGAUCUAUUUGAUUGGUUAUCUAAGCAUCUUUCAAAGAUCAAUGAUUUGCCUGAUGCUAUAGACCUAUUAAAGCCUAUGGCUUCUGCUCUCACACUAAUUUCUUAAUUUGUUUAUAUGUUGGUGAGUUUCUGUCUGAAUAAUAAACAUUUAAGUGUAAUCACUUUUCAUUUUCUUCUUGUCUAGGAUAAAUCAGCAGAAGUUUGAAGGCUGCCGAAGCUUUUAUUGGAGAAAUCUUGAGGGUCUGCAGCCCAGAUGCUGAAAAUAAGAGUCAGAGAAAGAUACGUGGGCCAGCAUUGGACCUUGUACUUGAAUGGACCUUCUGGUCUGGUGCAUGGAUCUUUAGACGGCCCAAAAGUGAUAUCAUCUAGUCUGGCAUCUAAAUGAAUCUCAAAGAUCGGAAAACCGAUUAAAUUGUGGCAUAGGAGCUAAGCAUGGAAAUAAGGCUCUAUCUUCGAAGGGUGUGCCAGUUAGAGCUUCAAAAUCCAACUCUGUUUUUUCUUUUCAAGAUUUGCUGUGCAGUCGCAGGCUUAUUUAACUUCAAGGGUUCCAACAAAGAAGAUAGGGAAAGAGUUGUCACAUGGAGGCUCAAAUUUAAUGGAGUAUGCCCUGAACAAGUUAAAGAUUUGGAGUAGAAGAUAUUUGGAGAUAUGUUGGAAAGCUAAAAGACACUCAGAAAAGUAUGCUUUAUGACAGAUUCAAAUGGAAGG
This is a long non-coding RNA of Dioscorea cayenensis subsp. rotundata (Guinea yam), 731 nucleotides long. RefSeq lists it as uncharacterized. Lineage: Eukaryota; Viridiplantae; Streptophyta; Magnoliopsida; Dioscoreales; Dioscoreaceae. The record is from RefSeq and is a predicted model, not a curated record. The transcript is spliced from 6 exons.